This 412-nucleotide ribosomal RNA is filed under the name Rhynchotrochus sp. Tagula Island. RNAcentral's name for it is "partial 16S ribosomal RNA". It matches the Rfam family "Bacterial large subunit ribosomal RNA", at positions 1808 to 2587 of the family's 2925-position model. Lineage: Eukaryota; Metazoa; Mollusca; Gastropoda; Stylommatophora; Camaenidae. The record is from RNAcentral.
CAAAAACAUAGUCGGUAGGAACAUAUUAUCGAUGUCCUCUGCUCAAUGAGUGUUAAAUAGCCGCAGUACCCUGACUGUGCAAAGGUAGCAUAAUCACUUGGCUUAUAAUUGAAGUCUUGUAUGAAUGGGGUAAUGGAGGUUAGCUGUAUGUUAAUAUUUAAUGAACUUACUGAGUAAGUGCAAAAACUUACUGUAACAUAAUAGACGAGAAGACCCUAGAAAUUUAAAUAAUGGAAAAAUUUUGUUGGGGCAACAACAUAACAGUUUAAUUUAUGUUUAAAACAAGACAAUAGUUAUUUGGAAGAAUAAAUUACUCUAGGGAUAACAGCAUAAUUUGUAAGAGUUUGUGACCUCGAUGUUGGACUAGGGAAGUUUAAGUUUAAAGAGUUUAAAUGUGUGCUCUGUUCGAGCA